RNAcentral lists this unclassified non-coding RNA (1165 nucleotides) under Octopus sinensis (East Asian common octopus). RNAcentral describes it as "glucose-induced degradation protein 4 homolog, transcript variant X1". The record is from RNAcentral. Lineage: Eukaryota; Metazoa; Mollusca; Cephalopoda; Octopoda; Octopodidae.
AAUUGAUGUUGGCGUUACAUAGCAGGCGUAAAAAUCUUCUAAGUGGAAGACGUUCAUUCUUCCGUGUUUAUGGUGUAAGUAAACAAACCUAGCAAAGUGCUUCUAAAAAAAAAAUGCCGCAAAAUAUCAUAGACCCUCCACCGCCCGAAAACCAUCAUCUUGCUGGAAUGCCCACAAAUCUUUUAUACAACGGCUCUCGAUUCAACGGACAUCAAAAAAGCAAAGGCAAUUCAUACGAUGUUGAAGUGGUUUUACAGUAUGUUGAUCUAAAGAAUGCUUACCUAUGUGGCUAUCUGAAAAUCAAAGGGCUUACAGAAGAAUAUCCAAUACUUACAACAUUUUUCGACGGUGAAAUCAUCAGUGAAAAGCAUCCAUUUUUAACUCGUAAGUGGGAUGCUGAUGAAGAUGUGGACAGGAAACACUGGGGGAAAUUUUUAUCAUUUUUUAAAUUAGCAAAAAGUUUUAAUUCCGACACAUUUGACUAUGAUGAACUUCAAAAGACAGAUUGUGUAUUUAUGCGGUGGAAGGAACACUUCUUAGUGCCAAACCACAAGAUUACAGACAUAAAUGGAGCAUCAUUUGCUGGAUUUUACUACAUCUGCUUCUGGAAAUCUAAUUCUACCAUUGAAGGUUAUUAUUAUCACCGAAGUUCUGAAUGGUACCAGUCCUUAAAACUGGAACACGUCAGUGAACAGAGCGCCCCUGUCUAUGCAUUCCGAUGACAAGUGUGAGUUCUCAGUGUGGGCAUAGUGCGUAUGUGUCUAACUGCUUGCCUAAAAAACUGCAAUUGGGAACCGGCCAUCAUUGAAUCGUCUGUGAAGACCUUUGGUGAACAUGUCAGUCUAUAUAUUUGAAUAUAUAUAUACAGCCUGCUGUGCUCCUUCUCUUUUUUUCCCCUCCCUAUCCGCCACUCUUUACUACUCGAAAACUGGUGAUGACAGUCCUGCCUCCGGAGACUGGAAGGAGCAUACACACAUAUACACACACCUGCAAUUUUAGGCAAACUUCCUGCGGACAUUGGAGUUUUGUGACUGGCUAGUUGGCUGGUUGUCACUCUGUACCCUUAAUGUCUUCCCUUUUCUCACUCUGUACACAUUUACAUAAAUGUACACACACAUACAAACAUAUGCAUGUAUAUAUUUAUAUAAAAGUGUAUAUAUAAAUA